RNAcentral lists this ribosomal RNA (460 nucleotides) under uncultured bacterium. RNAcentral describes it as "partial 16S ribosomal RNA". It matches the Rfam family "Bacterial small subunit ribosomal RNA", at positions 338 to 795 of the family's 1533-position model. The record is from RNAcentral.
CCUACGGUGGGCAGCAGUGGGGAAUAUUGGUCAAUGGACGAGAGUCUGAACCAGCCAAGUAGCGUGAAGGAUGACUGCCCUAUGGGUUGUCAACUUCUUUUAUAAAGGAAUAAAACGAGGCACGUGUGCCUUUUUGCAUGUACUUUAUGAAUAAGGAUCGGCUAACUCCGUGCCAGCCGCCGCGGUACUACGGAGGAUCCGAGCGUUAUCAGGAUUUAUGUGGGUUAAAGGGAGCGUAGAUGGGUUGUUAAGUCAGUUGUGAAAGUUUGGGGCUCAACCGUCAAAUUGCAAUUGAUACUGGCAAUCUUGAGUACAGUUGAGGUAGGCGGAAUUCGUGGUGUAGCGGUGAAAUGCUUAGAUAUCACGAAGAACCCCGAUUGCGAAGGCAGCUUACUAAACUGUGACUGACAUUGAUGCUCGAAAGUGUGGGUAUCAAACAGGAUUAGAUACCCUGGUAGUC